RNAcentral lists this ribosomal RNA (468 nucleotides) under uncultured bacterium. RNAcentral's name for it is "partial 16S ribosomal RNA". It matches the Rfam family "Bacterial small subunit ribosomal RNA", at positions 28 to 507 of the family's 1533-position model. The record is from RNAcentral.
GACGAACGCUGGCGGCGUGCUUAACACAUGCAAGUCGAACGGAAAGGCCCUGCUUUUGUGGGGUGCUCGAGUGGCGAACGGGUGAGUAACACGUGAGUAACCUGCCCUUGACUUUGGGAUAACUUCAGGAAACUGGGGCUAAUACCGGAUAGGAGCUCCUGCUGCAUGGUGGGGGUUGGAAAGUUUCGGCGGUUGGGGAUGGACUCGCGGCUUAUCAGCUUGUUGGUGGGGUAGUGGCUUACCAAGGCUUUGACGGGUAGCCGGCCUGAGAGGGGGACCGGCGACCUGGGGACUGAGAGAGGCCGCAGCCGCGAAGGGGGGGAAGGGGGGGGAAGGUUGGCAAAGGGGGGGGAGGUGUGGGCCGAAGGCCCCCGGUGGGUAAAGACGGCUUCGGGGUGAAAAACCGCUUUGGCUGGAAACGAAGCGGGAGUGACGGUAAGGAAAAAAAAAGCCCCGGCUAACUACGUG